CUCUGAUCUGUCUUGCUCUCUGGAAGGCUCCGGCUGUUUGGAUCUUGAUGUGUUUAUUUCCUUCUAAUCUUUUGGUGCAGCUUUCGUCUGACCGGAAACCAUGGCAGCCGCAUCCGAUGGCAGACCAACAUACACACCGCCAUAGUUCCUCCUUUUGUCAUCAUCUGAUACAGAUUCUUCCGCUGCAUCUUUAGUAGUCCCUGUGGCACCUCUCCCGCCCGCGCCGCCGGCCGUGGAGUUACCGCAGCCCAUGGGCGCCGCCCGGGCCGCCCCGCGGUGCGGAGCCGCGCGGAGGGGAGCGGCGGCGGGAGGCAGCCGGCGGCGGGC
This 327-nucleotide long non-coding RNA is filed under the name Gallus gallus (chicken). Lineage: Eukaryota; Metazoa; Chordata; Aves; Galliformes; Phasianidae. The record is from RNAcentral.